GUGCCAGCCGCCGCGGUAAUACGGAGGGUGCAAGCGUUAUCCGGAUUCACUGGGUUUAAAGGGAGCGUAGGUGGGUUGGUAAGUCAGUGGUGAAAUCCCCGAGCUUAACUUGGGAACUGCCAUUGAUACUACCAAUCUUGAAUUCUGUGGAGGUAAGCGGAAUAUAUCAUGUAGCGGUGAAAUGCUUAGAUAUGAUAUAGAACACCAAUAGCGAAGGCAGCUUACUACGCAGAUAUUGACACUGAGGCUCGAAAGCGUGGGGAUCAAACAGGAUUAGAUACCCUGGUAGUCCACGCCCUAAACUAUGGAUACUCGACAUCAGCGAUACACAGUUGGUGUCUAAGCGAAAGCAUUAAGUAUACCACCUGGGGAGUACGCCCGCAAGGGUGAA
This 391-nucleotide ribosomal RNA is filed under the name uncultured bacterium. Its description in RNAcentral is "bacterial SSU rRNA". It matches the Rfam family "Bacterial small subunit ribosomal RNA", at positions 505 to 898 of the family's 1533-position model. The record is from RNAcentral.